Long non-coding RNA from Alexandromys fortis (reed vole), 1681 nucleotides. RefSeq lists it as uncharacterized. The transcript is spliced from 3 exons. Lineage: Eukaryota; Metazoa; Chordata; Mammalia; Rodentia; Cricetidae. The record is from RefSeq and is a predicted model, not a curated record.
UUUUUUUUUUUUUUUUUUUUUUGCCCAGGGAUUCAUUUUUGAUAUUCACCAAUUUUACCAAAUCUUUCCUAAAAUUUUGAUGUAAAAAACAAACAGACAAAAACCCAAAACCUUUUCCCCACCAAGUUCCAUUUGACAACUGUCCAUCUCUUCUCUGGGUCCAUCCUGAGGUUUUCCUGUCUUCCCAAACUCAGGACCCAUUCCUCCCCUCCGGCCCUCACUGCUCUGCUCAGGUCAGCAUCUGCGCCCUUCUGUUCUCAGGACCGUUUCGCUGAGUGCAGGGUUCCCCGUGGUCUCCGCACCAUUGCUCAGUCCAUAAUUUCCAUCCUGCUGUCUUCUUUGAAGAGAGGGUUAUUUCAAAGGCUGCUUUUGACAUUUCCGGGUGGAUGGAGUUUCUUGCCAUCCCGCAGAGCUCCGGGCUAUCUGCAUUGGAGGAUGUGGUCAGGAUGACAUGAUUUAUUUCAGUUUUGUUGAAACUUGCUUUGACUUUCAAGGCUGUCCCAUGCCCUGCUCGUGACUGACGCAGAGUCCCCCUCACAUUGACUGGGAAUGGGCAGGCCUCUCGUGGAUAUCGACCAGCCAUUGUAUAUCAAGUUGCAGUGAGACCAGGCACCUCCUCUCCUAUUCAGGCUGGACAAGGCAACCAGCUGAGCCCUGAAACGUGUUCUCCAAGGAGUGGAUGCUGGGGGAAUCAUGGAGGUGGGAUUGGUGAGGACGGAGAGUGGGGAUGUUGACAGCAACGAGGGAGGACCAAGCCUUCGUGAGUGCUUACCACGAUCCUGGCGAGGUACUAAUCCCUUGACACCAAUCCCCAUGCCAGCCGUAUGAGGUAAGAGUAAUUGCUUUAAUAAUGGGUAAUAUUUACUACUUAGUGCAUAGCCGGCAUUCUUGGAAGAGCUUACAAGUGUCAACCCUUUCAAGGCAGGAACCAUUAUGCCCCCUGGAUUAGAGAUGAGGAAACAGGGACAUUUAACAGCUCACCUGAGCUCUUCCAGCCAGUUACUUGAGUUCAUAUGUUCUCCUGGCUCUCCUGGUUCUCCUGGCUCUAGGCAGGAGUUGCCGGGACCCCUGGGGAACGGGUGUCUACCUUCUGCAUAGACUGGAGAAGUCAUCGUGGUGGAGGCUAUGCCGGCCCAGCCAUAGGGAUUCGCAAUUUCCCAGGUGGGGCAUGAGGCAGCUUGGUGUUUAGGUGCUUUGAAUGGGUUCCGGGAAAACUUGGGGCAUUGGGUGAGACGCUUGGCUUAAAGAAUGGGAAAGAGCCUGGUACCAAAGGGGCCCAGCAAGGUUGGAGGGCUUGAGCUGCAUUCUGAGGUCUGUGAGGGGCUGGAAGCCCUGGCCUCUCCCCCAGCUGUCGAGAUCUAGCCUAGCCUAAGCAGGCGUGGGAAUGCUAAGGCUUCCUAAAACCAAGCCCUCAGCAGCCUCCCCAACCCCAAGAAAGGGUGGGUCCUGCCUCUCACCCCACUCCUGUCACACCCCAGGCCUCUCUCCCACCACCCCUCAUGCUGCUCCCAGGCUUGGCAUACGGCUUCUUCCACCGCCAUGAUGCCCAUUCCUCUCCCUCCAGGCUCUCAGUUUUCUGUCAGCCUGUCCCCAGUUCAUCCCUCUUCAGGAACCCCUCAGAGACACUCCAGGAACCCCUCGGUAUACACACUGCCUACCACAUCAGGCCCACCCAGGUGAG